RNAcentral lists this ribosomal RNA (253 nucleotides) under uncultured bacterium. RNAcentral describes it as "partial 16S ribosomal RNA". It matches the Rfam family "Bacterial small subunit ribosomal RNA", at positions 524 to 776 of the family's 1533-position model. The record is from RNAcentral.
UACAGAGGUGGCAAGCGUUGUUCGGAAUUACUGGGCGUAAAGGGCGCGUAGGCGGCCUUCUAAGUCAGACGUGAAAUCUCCCGGCUUAACUGGGAGGGUGCAGCGGAAACUAGAAUGCUAGAGGGUGGGAGAGGUAAGCGGAAUUCCUGGUGUAGCGGUGAAAUGCGUAGAUAUCAGGAGGAACACCAGCGGCGAAGGCGGCGCUCUGGGCUGGCACUGACGCUGAGGAGCGAAAGCGUGGGGAGCGAACAGG